UACGUAGGGUGCAAGCGUUAUCCGGAAUUAUUGGGCGUAAAGAGCUCGUAGGCGGUUUGUCGCGUCUGCUGUGAAAACUGGAGGCUCAACCUCCAGCCUGCAGUGGGUACGGGCAGACUAGAGUGCGGUAGGGGAGAUUGGAAUUCCUGGUGUAGCGGUGGAAUGCGCAGAUAUCAGUAGGAACACCGAUGGCGAAGGCAGAUCUCUGGGCUGAUACUGACGCUCAUGCACGAAAGCGUGGGGAGCAAACAGG
RNAcentral lists this ribosomal RNA (253 nucleotides) under uncultured bacterium. RNAcentral describes it as "partial 16S ribosomal RNA". It matches the Rfam family "Bacterial small subunit ribosomal RNA", at positions 524 to 776 of the family's 1533-position model. The record is from RNAcentral.